UCCAGGGUAGCCUAGUGGACAUGGCAUCUGCCCGGUAAGCGGAACAUUGUGGUUUCGAUUCCCAUCCCUGGAC
Molecule: transfer RNA, 73 nt
Filed under: Cordylochernes scorpioides
Lineage: Eukaryota; Metazoa; Arthropoda; Arachnida; Pseudoscorpiones; Chernetidae
Description: tRNA-Thr
Rfam family: tRNA
About the family: Transfer RNA (tRNA) molecules are approximately 80 nucleotides in length. Their secondary structure includes four short double-helical elements and three loops (D, anti-codon, and T loops).
Source: RNAcentral